This 75-nucleotide transfer RNA is filed under the name bacterium. Its description in RNAcentral is "tRNA-Val". It matches the Rfam family "tRNA". From Rfam's summary of the family: Transfer RNA (tRNA) molecules are approximately 80 nucleotides in length. Their secondary structure includes four short double-helical elements and three loops (D, anti-codon, and T loops). The record is from RNAcentral.
GGGCGGUUAACUCAGCGGUAGAGUGUCACCUUCACACGGUGGAAGCCACAGGUUCAAACCCUGUACCGCCCACCA